GUGCCAGCAGCCGCGGUAAUACGUAGGGGGCAAGCGUUGUUCGGAAUUACUGGGCGUAAAGGGCGCGUAGGCGGCAGGCCAAGUCGGGAGUGAAAGCCCGGGGCUCAACCCCGGAAUGUCUUUCGAAACUGGCCAGCUGGAGUGCGGAAGAGGCAACUGGAAUUCCCAGUGUAGCGGUGAAAUGCGUAGAUAUUGGGAAGAACACCUGAGGCGAAGGCGGGUUGCUGGGCCGACACUGACGCUGAGGCGCGAAAGCCAGGGGAGCAAACGGGAUUAGAUACCCCUGUAGUCC
Molecule: ribosomal RNA, 292 nt
Filed under: uncultured bacterium
Lineage: Bacteria
Description: partial 16S ribosomal RNA
Rfam family: Bacterial small subunit ribosomal RNA
Source: RNAcentral